UACGUAGGUGGCAAGCGUUGUCCGGAAUUAUUGGGCGUAAAGCGCGCGCAGGCGGCCUCGUAAGUCUGAUGUGAAGCCCCCCGCUCAACCGGGGAGGGCCAUUGGAAACUGGGAUGCUUGAGUAGAGGAGAGAAGGAGGGAAUUCCACGUGUAGCGGUGAAAUGCGUAGAGAUGUGGAGGAACACCAGUGGCGAAGGCGACUCUUUGGCCUAUAACUGACGCUGAGGCGCGAAAGCGUGGGGAGCAAACAGG
This 252-nucleotide unclassified non-coding RNA is filed under the name uncultured Caryophanales bacterium. RNAcentral's name for it is "uncultured Bacillales bacterium contains 16S-23S intergenic spacer region". It matches the Rfam family "Bacterial small subunit ribosomal RNA", at positions 524 to 776 of the family's 1533-position model. The record is from RNAcentral. Lineage: Bacteria; Bacillati; Bacillota; Bacilli; Caryophanales.